Molecule: ribosomal RNA, 492 nt
Filed under: uncultured bacterium
Lineage: Bacteria
Description: partial 16S ribosomal RNA
Rfam family: Bacterial small subunit ribosomal RNA
Source: RNAcentral
AGUGAACGCUGGCGGUACGCCUAACACAUGCAAGUCGAACGGCAGCACAGUAAGAGCUUGCUCUUACGGGUGGCGAGUGGCGGACGGGUGAGGAAUACAUCGGAAUCUACUUUUUCGUGGGGGAUAACGUAGGGAAACUUACGCUAAUACCGCAUACGACCUACGGGUGAAAGCAGGGGAUCUUCGGACCUUGCGCGAUUGAAUGAGCCGAUGUCGGAUUAGCUAGUUGGCGGGGUAAAGGCCCACCAAGGCGACGAUCCGUAGCUGGUCUGAGAGGAUGAUCAGCCACACUGGAACUGAGACACGGUCCAGACUCCUACGGGAGGCAGCAGUGGGGAAUAUUGGACAAUGGGCGCAAGCCUGAUCCAGCCAUACCGCGUGGGUGAAGAAGGCCUUCGGGUUGUAAAGCCCUUUUGUUGGGGAAGAAAAGCAGCAGGUUAAUACCCCGCUGUUCUGACGGUACCCAAAGAAUAAGCACCGGCUAACUUCGUG